Molecule: transfer RNA, 21 nt
Filed under: Streptocarpus dunnii
Lineage: Eukaryota; Viridiplantae; Streptophyta; Magnoliopsida; Lamiales; Gesneriaceae
Description: partial tRNA-Asp
Source: RNAcentral
CGGGACUGGCGGGGCUCGAAC